CCCUAUUUCGGGCUUGGCCGGAGCAACCUUGCACCGGCCGGCCUCCGGCGGCACGGCGGCGCGCGCGGGGCCCUGAGUCGGGUGAGGGGGAGGUGAGGAACACCGUGCUCACCUCAGUUGGCGACUGGAAGCGGCGGCGGCAGCUGUGGAACGAACCGAGCCCGCACGGCUAGGGCACGGGUUCCACGGGCAAAGGCGGCCACGGCGGCGGCCGGGGCCGGUCGGGGACGGCGGAGGAGAGUCGCCAGAGGUCGGAGGGGUUACCACGGGGUGGCCCAAGGUGGCGGCGGCGCUGGGAAGAGGUCGCACCCAGACCUCGGCCCGAGCAGGUCUGGGCGACGCGGGUUGGCCGAGACCGCGGCGGCGGCGUGCCGGGACGACGGCGACGGCAAGCGGGGGUUGCCGGGGCUCCGGGGAAGGCUGCUGAAGGGGGUCACAGGCGGCGGCGGCGCACGGGGAGGGAGCUGGGGCUACCUCGGCCAGAGCUCGGCCAAGCCGGCUGCAAAGAGCAGCGGCGGCCGCAGCGGCGCGAGGAGGCGGCGGCGGUCGGCGGGGAGGCUCUCCGGGGCUCCGGGAAGUCGGUAGGGGUGGUCCACGGUGGCAGCGGCGCAGAGGGAAGGGCUGCAAGCUUGCCUCGGCCUGGCUCGGUCUGGGAAGCUGCAGGCGGCUGGAGCGGCUGCGGCGGCGCAGGCGAUGGCGGCGGUCGGCGGGGACGAUCGCCGGAGCACGGGGUGACACCGAGGGAGGGUCCGAAGGUGGCGGCAGUCUCGGGUCUCCUCACAACCCGAGGGGAGAGAGGGAGAGAGAAAGAGAGGGAGAGAGAGAGAAGUGGUGGCUCGGCGGCGGCCGGGGCUCAGCCGGCGGCGGCCGGGGGUGGUGCAGCAAGGGCAAGGGGAAGGGUGAAGGUGGCUGAGGCGACUAAGGUAGCUGGGGGCUGGCUAGGG
Molecule: long non-coding RNA, 944 nt
Filed under: Ananas comosus (pineapple)
Lineage: Eukaryota; Viridiplantae; Streptophyta; Magnoliopsida; Poales; Bromeliaceae
Description: long non-coding RNA (ACOM_LNC044496)
Source: RNAcentral